This 485-nucleotide unclassified non-coding RNA is filed under the name Melitaea cinxia (Glanville fritillary). RNAcentral's name for it is "misc RNA ENSMCXG00005017026.1". The record is from RNAcentral. Lineage: Eukaryota; Metazoa; Arthropoda; Insecta; Lepidoptera; Nymphalidae.
AUUAACCCUUAAUUUACCCGGUAGGUCCCUGGGACUCCAUUGAAAACUUUACGCGCUCAUAAAAUCGUUAGUUUUUGGAUUUUGAAAUUGUGCGUUCCAGUACCUUCACACAGUGACGCACCGAACGCGGGGGAGAGUGGACGUUGAUGUACGUGACUCCGAUCGAUGAUAUAAUGGUGUCUCACAGUACGAUAAACGUAUUUGACGAUGGUGCUGAGUCUGUAAUAAACAACUGGCUCGCACAAGUAAGUGACAGCGACACGGAUGGUGAUGGUGAGGAUCAACAAAAUAUAGCGUUGAACCAGCCUAGGAGACUAGAACCUAACGAGGUGGUGUCUGAAUCCGAGGAUGACUGCAAGCUCUGAGACCACAACUCUAAAUUAUCUUGUCUCGAUUUCAUCAAAGCUAUUACAACCGAACUCGAUGAAAGCAAUCUAAAAAGUAGAUUGUAUAAUAUAAUACCAAACUUCCUCGGCAGUUACGCG